GCGGGAAGAGCUCAAAUUUAUAAUCUGGCACCUUCGGUGUCCGAGUUGUAAUCUCUAGAAAUGUUUUCCGCGUUGGACCGCACACAAGUCUGUUGGAAUACAGCGGCAUAGUGGUGAGACCCCCGUAUAUGGUGCGGACGCCCAGCGCUUUGUGAUACAUUUUCGAAGAGUCGAGUUGUUUGGGAAUGCASCUCAAAUUGGGUGGUAAAUUCCAUCUAAAGCUAAAUAUUGGCGAGAGACCGAUAGCGAACAAGUACCGUGAGGGAAAGAUGAAAAGCACUUUGGAAAGAGAGUUAACAGUACGUGAAAUUGUUGGAAGGGAAACGCUUGAAGUCAGACUUGCUUGCCGAGCAAUCGGUUUGCAGGCCAGCAUCAGUUUUCCGGGAUGGAUAAUGGUAGAGAGAAGGUAGCAGUUUCGGCUGUGUUAUAGCUCUCUGCUGGAUACAUCUUGGGGGACUGAGGAACGCAGUGUGCCUUUUGGCGGGGGUUUCGACCUCUUCACACUUAGGAUGCUGGUGGAAUGGCUUUAAACGACCCGUCUU
RNAcentral lists this ribosomal RNA (542 nucleotides) under Rhodotorula mucilaginosa. RNAcentral describes it as "eukaryotic LSU rRNA". It matches the Rfam family "Eukaryotic large subunit ribosomal RNA", at positions 98 to 655 of the family's 3401-position model. Lineage: Eukaryota; Fungi; Basidiomycota; Microbotryomycetes; Sporidiobolales; Sporidiobolaceae. The record is from RNAcentral.